Phascolarctos cinereus (koala) is the source of this 395-nucleotide non-coding RNA. NCBI's taxonomy places the organism in Eukaryota, Metazoa, Chordata, Mammalia, Diprotodontia, Phascolarctidae. The record is from RefSeq and is a predicted model, not a curated record.
CCAGAAGUAAGGCUAUGCCAUCCGUGAUAACAGAGAUAUUAAAGCUCAUCAUCCUGCUUGUGAUUUGUCUUUCUGAGAAAGACUGUGGAACGUCCCUCCUCCUGCCAGUCAGCUGUACUGAAGGACCCAGAAUCUCUCAACCCUUUGAACUGAGGAUUCUUCUAAGGCUUGACAUAUCCAUCUCCAGAUUGCUAUUCAAUCACCCAUGCUCAGAGAAGGAUCACAGAAUAGAAGAGUACCAGCUGGAGAAGCCACUGCUUCCCCCAUAAGCUGCCACCCUCCAAGGUCAUUUUCAGUUCAGCUUUUAAAGUACUUCUGGAUUUGAGUUAACAGCUUAAUGGAAAAUCCUUGACUACAAGCGCAGUGUCUUCUGUGGUUCUGUAUCUUUCACUAGA